RNAcentral lists this long non-coding RNA (417 nucleotides) under Dermacentor andersoni. RNAcentral's name for it is "uncharacterized LOC126545716". Lineage: Eukaryota; Metazoa; Arthropoda; Arachnida; Ixodida; Ixodidae. The record is from RNAcentral.
CUACAUAUGUUACAGACUGCUCGAAAAUUGAACGCUUUCCGAGAUCCCGUGGUCCGAGGAACUUUUGUGCCUGACUGUACAGAUGGGUCUCGACUCGAAGCUCCUCCUUGACCGACGAGCACACUGGUCUUUUAUAACGCUCAUCGGUGAUUCCUAUGAAGUCACCUUCACUCCAGUUCGCAUGGGAGUAGGCGUCGACGGCAGCUGGUUACAAAACCUUUGCUCAGGAAUCGCCGUGGUGUGUUGCUGAAACGCGAAAACGCUGUGUAAUUGCCACGUGACGCCAUGCUGAACCGACAAGCAGUCUGCCGAAUAUGGGGGAGUGACACAAGAACCAAACGGGAACGGAUGGCUCCACUGGCGGAAGGAGCUUCGGCCACGAGGAGAUCAAAAUAAAACGCUUUGGAAGUCGGUAAA